GCCUCGGUGGCUUAGGGGUUAUAGCAUCCGCCUUGUAAGCGGAAGGUCGCGAGUUCAAGACUCGCCCGAGGCUCCA
This 76-nucleotide transfer RNA is filed under the name Candidatus Thorarchaeota archaeon. Its description in RNAcentral is "tRNA-Thr". It matches the Rfam family "tRNA". From Rfam's summary of the family: Transfer RNA (tRNA) molecules are approximately 80 nucleotides in length. Lineage: Archaea; Promethearchaeati; Candidatus Thorarchaeota. The record is from RNAcentral.